This is a long non-coding RNA of Felis catus (domestic cat), 277 nucleotides long. RefSeq lists it as uncharacterized. Lineage: Eukaryota; Metazoa; Chordata; Mammalia; Carnivora; Felidae. The transcript has 2 exons. The record is from RefSeq and is a predicted model, not a curated record.
UGAACUUGGUGCUCAUUCCCACCUGGGUCCUCACGGAGCGGCCUGAGGAAUGCAACCCAGCACACCCCGUGGCAGCCCGCUGGAGCGCCCGGAACCAGAGGAAUGUGGAAGAGGGACAACCCCCUUCCAGCCCCCAGCGGCAGGGUCCCAAGUAGCCACGAUGAGAAGGCACCGCCACCAGAGAGCCUCAGGUCAGGGGAGAGGGCGUUGGAAAUGGGAGAGCAGCCGCACAGCCCCUGGCCCGCGCUAAAAAAAUGCAGCAGCAGCAGCAGAAGAA